CUUUACUGGAUCUUUUUCCAAGUCCUGCUCACUAAAGAACUGCUUCAUACAAAAUCCUACUAAUGUGCUGGAGACAGUCCAGGUUAUUGUGCCUUGUCUGCUAUGCCAAAUUCCAAAGGGUUGCAAAGGCUUCUGCAAGAAAUCUGAGAAUACAAGAAUACAACUGUGAUUGGUUUAUUUUCCCUCCCUCCCUCCCUCCCUCCCUCCCUCCCUCCAUUCCUCCCUUCCUUCCUUCCUUCCUUCCGUCGUACCUUCCUUCCUUCCGUCGAACCUUCCUUCCUUCCAUCGUACCUUCCUUCCUUCCUUCCUUCCUUCCUUCCUUCCUUCCUUCCUUCCUUCCUUCCUUCCUUCCUUUCUUUCUUUCUUUCUUUCUUUCUUUCUUCCUUUCUUUCUUUCUUUCUUUCUUUCUUUCUUUCUUUCUUUCUUUCUUCCUUUCUUUCUUUCUUUCUUUCUUUCUUUCUUUCUUUCUUUCUUUCUUUCUUUCUUUCUUUCUUUCUUUCUUUCUUUCUUUCUUUCUUUCUUUCUUUCUUUCUUUCUUUCCUUCUUUCCUUCUUUCUUUCUUUCUUUCCUUCUUUCUUUCCUUCUUUCUUAGUUCAGUUCAGUUCUAAGUUUUUAUCAAAGUUCUGCUCAGAUGUACAUGAGGCCUUUCCUGACCCCCUUAGUUCGUUCUCCUUUCUAAAUAUACUUUAGGAUACAUUUUGUAUUUACUAAUAUUUGUAGGCAUCAUGUUUCCUUAGUAAAGCACAAACUCUUGAAGAGCAAGAAUCAUUUUCUUUUUG
RNAcentral lists this long non-coding RNA (779 nucleotides) under Monodelphis domestica (gray short-tailed opossum). RNAcentral's name for it is "lncRNA (ENSMODG00000028953.2)". The record is from RNAcentral. Lineage: Eukaryota; Metazoa; Chordata; Mammalia; Didelphimorphia; Didelphidae.